UUUCUAUGAUAAAAUUCUUCUUCGUCUGAUUAAUUUUCCCUUUCUUUUUCCUCUUCACUUAAAUUAGUAAUUUAUUUCAAUAGGGUUCAGUGAAUAUCAUUUGUACUGAUCUGUUUCAAUUGGUGUCUGUCUUAUGCUGGGUUAGUUUUUAAAUACGGUAAUCUGGAUCCUUCUAAUGAGUUUUUCACAUGAGCAGCAAAAUUUUGUUCUUCGGUGUACUUAAUAGUAGUGGAAAUUCAUAAUUCUCUGAUUAGGUGGUUGAUUUAUGAGUUUGGAAGAUUUGAUGAAAUAGGUUAAUUGAUCUCUGCUAAUUUUAGCAUAUUACAUGGGGUCUGGUUCCAUAUCCUCCCCUCCAAAACUCAAUUGGUCGAUUUGCUUAUUUAUGAUUGUUCCGACUGAAAAAAUCAAAGAAAUCCUGGUGCAAUGAAGUCCUUGGGAGCAAAAGAAGGAGGAAACGUCCAUUUAGAGCGCAAAGGAAAGAAAGGCCAAUUCACAGGUCAGCGAUGGAGCGGCUAAAAUUGCACAAGAAAGAGGUGAUGCCUAAAACAGACAAUUAAGCAAGAAAGAAUGAAAUGUCAGUUGCAUGGAACUGACAGGCCAAAUGAUAGUGGAUAACCCUUAUCCAACUUCUGGGCACAUGUAGUAAUUUUAUCUAUUACAACCCAGAAAUAUCUUCUCUUCUCAUUAUUGUGUCGGUCUGAAAGUUAGAAACGAGAGAAGCCAUGGCGGCUGUUUUGAGAAGAUGAUGGUGAAGACUGAUCUGAAAUUGAGAGAUUGCCAGAGAGAAAAGGUUGCUGCUGAGGGUGGAAUUUAUACUGCUAUUAACAGAGACGAGUUGGUCCCAAUUUGAUAAGAAUCAGAGAUGGUUUUAUGUGGCUGAGUCUCUGGUCGAGUUGUGAGAAGGGAAUGGAGAUAACAAGGUGAUUAUGGUGUUAACAGAAGGAAUUGGAUUUGGGUUUGUGCUGAAGCUGAAAUUGCAGCAGAUACGAACAGAUAUUGAGAGCUAAAUGAGUUUGAAAUCUAGAAUUUUAGAAACUAGGGUCUGUUGAUUGAGAACCUAAUGAAGAAAUUGAUGGGUUCGACCUAUUAGAGAUGGAGAUAUUUUUGUUGUUGGUGGUGGUCAAGAUUGAAGAUGUACUGCAGUAUGGUUUUGAUUGUUACUGCUUGUGUUGAGAAUGUUUGCAGUUCAGGUUAAUAUGUUGAAGUUGUGGCUGAUGUUUGAUGGAUCUCCGCAAGAACAAGAAUCAGUGGUGUUAAUGAAAUGAAUGUCUUGAAGCAGUUCUGGAUGUUGAUAUGGCAGGGAGUGCCUUGUGUUGCUUCUAAAAGGGUUUGGAUGGUGUUACAUAUGAGCAGAUCCUAAUGAAUGUUAAGACAUUGAAGGUUGAGAUGGAAUCAACGCAGUCGAGGGCACUGGUGAUGGAGCUAAUGCUGCUGAUAGUUGAACUGAAUCUGUGUAGAUGAAUGUAUAGGGUUCAGGUGGUGAUGCUAUGGGUUUGGUUCAUCAUGAAGUUGCAGGUGAACUGCAGUUGUCAUGGGAAGAGAAGCUGGUGCUAUUGAUUUUGCCGCAGAUGAAGGUGGAAUGUAAGUUUGAAUGGGAUUGUGGUGUUGAUUGGCUUGGAGCAAAGUUGCUGCUAAUGGUAGUACAGCUGCAGGAUUGAAAUGUUGUCUAGAUGAAUGUUUAGGUUACAGGUGCAAUGGCUAGGCAGAGAUGAAUUGGUUGUUUGCAGUGGACUGGAAAUGAUGAUUGCAUGCAGCUAGUCAUGCUGUUUGUAGUUUGAAUCUGCAGUUUAGGUUGUACUGGGUUUGUGGUAUAGUUGGUGAUGUCAGGGUGCCAUUGGUGUUGAUGUGAUGCUGGUUGUACUGAGAUUGGAGCUGUAAUGCGGAGAAGGGUACAGUUGCAGGUGGGAUGCUACUGCCGUUAUUUACAGGGAAGUUGUGAAUGAAAUUGAGAUUGUUGCUAGUUCAUGUGGAAAGAAAUUGCAAGGUUGCAGUCUUGAGUUUUAUUGAGUUUAAAGCAAAGAAUUGGAUCUUGUGCCACGUUGUAUACAAUGGACUCAUGGAAGAUUGUGGAGCUUAUUUCAGGUGGCUCUCAACAAGAAUAAGAAUGAAGUGCAGCUGAGACUUUAGCUGUUAUUGGAGGACUUGAAACCCAAAUGAGAAUGUUUUUGGGUUCAACUCAAGUUGAAUAUUGCAGGCAUGGAAUGGGUAUUACAGAGUGGUGGUUGCAGUGAGGCAGUGAUUGUGCAAUUGAGGUGAGAAGAUACGAAGUCGCAACAAUGAAUUGCACUGGUUGUGUUACAGGUUGCCUGAGAUGUCGCACUGCAGAUUAGGAAGUAGAGCUGGUAGAUUGUGUUGCGAAUGUGGGAGUAACUGGACUGAAGUUGGUGGUUGAAAUGAUUGCAUUCAAGCAGAGGUAUUGUUGUUGCUCUGAGCUGAGGUGAAGGAAUGAAUGGUUUCGUUUAAGGUUAUGUUGGUGAUGUCUUUGUUUUGGUGGAGGUAAUGUAGAGCCAUCAUGGCUGAAGCUGAAGCUGUGACAAGCAAUGAUUGUGCAACAGAAUCUUAGACCUUUGCAGUGGCUUUGUCCUAGAACUAAGUCAGCUGAGUUAGCACUGACCCUGAUCUGACUUAGCUGACAUCAUAUUCUGAAUCCAACUCACCUGACUCGUACCCUGACUCAGUAACUUUGACUGAGUGACUCAGUUGACCAGACCGAGUUCAAUCGUUGACCGGUGACCGGGUGGACUUUGUCGGUCACCUGAGCUAUGUUCCGAUCACUUUUCCGUCCAAGUUCCGGCCACUUUACCAGUAUUCCAGCGACAUCUUUUGGGACAUAUUUUCUACAUGGGUUUUUCUCACUCUUGUUGGACCACUUGGAUUUUGGGCUUUGAAGACCUAGUUUUGGAAAGAUGAAAAGCUACAAAAGGAGAAAGUUUCUACUUUGAUUAUUACAUAUUUUUCUACUUGGAGAUUUGGAGAACGGAGACUAGGGUUUGGUUUCAUAUAUUUUUCAUUUUUUUAUUUUAUGAAAAUGAUUAUGUUGAACUCCAUCAAUAUGAGUAGCUAAAUGCUAUUAUUGGUUAUGGGAUAAAGUGGAUUUCACAAAAGAUAUUUGAUUCAAUGAAUUAGUUUUGUCUC
Molecule: long non-coding RNA, 3135 nt
Organism: Papaver somniferum (opium poppy)
Lineage: Eukaryota; Viridiplantae; Streptophyta; Magnoliopsida; Ranunculales; Papaveraceae
Exons: 2
Source: RefSeq, a predicted model, not a curated record